AAACGAAACAAAGCCACCCGUCCAACCGUUCCAUUCAUAUUCUUCUCUUUUGUUUUUUUAUUUUUCUCUCUGUCUGCAAUCCCGUAUCCAGAUUCCAUGGAGGAUUAUAACAGAUCAAGAUCAUAUUCAUAUUCAUAUGGGGCUGGAACGAUGCAGAUGGAGAGUUAUUAUGGUCCACCAAGACCGCCCACCACUUCCUAUGACCUCAGGUCCUACAGUGCCUCCUAUGCACAAUCCCAGAUGGCUAACAACGGCU
Molecule: unclassified non-coding RNA, 256 nt
Filed under: Hevea brasiliensis (rubber tree)
Lineage: Eukaryota; Viridiplantae; Streptophyta; Magnoliopsida; Malpighiales; Euphorbiaceae
Source: RNAcentral